Molecule: ribosomal RNA, 448 nt
Filed under: uncultured bacterium
Lineage: Bacteria
Description: bacterial SSU rRNA
Rfam family: Bacterial small subunit ribosomal RNA
Source: RNAcentral
UGACGGUACCGGAAGAAUAAGCACCGGCUAACUUCGUGCCAGCAGCCGCGGUAAUACGAAGGGUGCAAGCGUUACUCGGAAUUACUGGGCGUAAAGCGUGCGUAGGUGGUUUGUUAAGUCUGAUGUGAAAGCCCUGGGCUCAACCUGGGAAUUGCAUUGGAUACUGGCAGGCUAGAGUGCGGUAGAGGAUGGCGGAAUUCCCGGUGUAGCAGUGAAAUGCGUAGAGAUCGGGAGGAACAUCUGUGGCGAAGGCGGCCAUCUGGACCAGCACUGACACUGAGGCACGAAAGCGUGGGGAGCAAACAGGAUUAGAUACCCUGGUAGUCCACGCCCUAAACGAUGCGAACUGGAUGUUGGGUGCAACUAGGCACUCAGUAUCGAAGCUAACGCGUUAAGUUCGCCGCCUGGGGAGUACGGUCGCAAGACUGAAACUCAAAGGAAUUGACGG